RNAcentral lists this ribosomal RNA (450 nucleotides) under uncultured bacterium. Its description in RNAcentral is "bacterial SSU rRNA". It matches the Rfam family "Bacterial small subunit ribosomal RNA", at positions 29 to 520 of the family's 1533-position model. The record is from RNAcentral.
AGCGAACAUUGGCGGUAGGCUUAACACAUGCAAGUCGAGCGAGGCGUAAUAGUCGAGCGGCGAACGGGUGAGUAAUACUUGGGAAUCUGCCCUGAAGUGGGGGAUAACGUCCAGAAAUGGACGCUAAUACCGCAUAAUCCAUAUCGGGAAAGCGCGCUGCGCUUUAGGAUGAGCCCAAGUCUGAUUAGCUAGUUGGCGGGGUAAAGGCCCACCAAGGCGACGAUCAGUAGCUGGUCUGAGAGGAUGAUCAGCCACACUGGAACUGAGACACGGUCCAGACUCCUACGGGAGGCAGCAGUGGGGGAAUCUUGCGCAAUGGGGGCAACCCUGACGCAGCCAUACCGCGUGUGUGAUGAAGGUCUUCGGAUUGUAAAAGCACUUUUCAGCGGGGGACGACAAUGACGGUACCCGCAGAAGAAGUCACGGCUAACUUCGUGCCAGCAGCCGCGG